UACAGAGGGUGCGAGCGUUGUUCGGAAUUAUUGGGCGUAAAGCGCUGGUAGGUGGCUUGUUAAGUCGCGUGUGAAAGCUUCCGGCUCAACCGGAAAAGUGCGCGCGAAACUGGCGAGCUUGAGUGAGGAAGAGGGUUAUGGAAUUCCCAGUGUAGAGGUGAAAUUCGUAGAUAUUGGGAAGAACACCGGUGGCGAAGGCGGCAACCUGGUCCUUUACUGACGCUGAGGCGCGAAAGCGUGGGGAGCAAACAGG
Molecule: ribosomal RNA, 253 nt
Filed under: uncultured bacterium
Lineage: Bacteria
Description: partial 16S ribosomal RNA
Rfam family: Bacterial small subunit ribosomal RNA
Source: RNAcentral